Molecule: ribosomal RNA, 467 nt
Filed under: uncultured bacterium
Lineage: Bacteria
Description: partial 16S ribosomal RNA
Rfam family: Bacterial small subunit ribosomal RNA
Source: RNAcentral
GACGAACGCUGGCGGCGUGCUUAACACAUGCAAGUCGAACGGAAAGGCCCUGCUUUUGUGGGGUGCUCGAGUGCGAACGGGUGAGUAACACGGGAGUAACCUGCCCUUGACUUUGGGAUAACUUCAGGAAACUGGGGCUAAUACCGGAUAGGAGCUCCUGCUGCAUGGUGGGGGUUGGAAAGUUUCGGCGGUUGGGGAUGGACUCGCGGCUUAUCAGCUUGUUGGUGGGGUAGUGGCUUACCAAGGCUUUGACGGGUAGCCGGCCUGAGAGGGUGACCGGCCACAUUGGGACUGAGAUACGGCCCAGACUCCUACGGGAGGCAGCAGUGGGGAAUAUUGCACAAUGGGCGGAAGCCUGAUGCAGCAACGCCGCGUGCGGGAUGACGGCCUUCGGGUUGUAAACCGCUUUCGCCUGUGACGAAGCGUGAGUGACGGUAAUGGGUAAAGAAGCACCGGCUAACUACGUG